CCUGCCUCUCCUAGUACAACUUUUGCUUUCUGCUGAAUUUCCUGUUCCAUAUAGCAAGUCCACAGCAGGAAGCCAGGUAUUCAAUAUUGCAUAGUUGGAGGGUAUCACAACAGCCUCAUCUGGUUUCAUCUUUUUGCCCUCAGAACACAGAAAUCUGAUGUCUUUCAGCUUACAACACCCACUUACAGCCAAACUGAGAGGAGGAACACCAGUCAGAGGUCGCAGGGAACACACUCUCAGCCUUGAGGAAGAAAUGAAUUUAUACAAAAUGGUCACAUCUAACAAAACAGUGCUCAGAAGAGGACAAGAAUGUCAAGCACUUCUAUAAAGCAGCUAAGAAACAUUGGCAAGGAGUGGUUUGCUGAGAGACAUCACUUUGCUAUUUUGCUGCUACAAUUCUUAUAGCUUACUCCAAAGGGAACUAAUAUGCACAGGAUUCACACGGUAAG
Molecule: long non-coding RNA, 449 nt
Organism: Pipra filicauda (Wire-tailed manakin)
Lineage: Eukaryota; Metazoa; Chordata; Aves; Passeriformes; Pipridae
Exons: 3
Source: RefSeq, a predicted model, not a curated record